ACGCUGGCGGCGUGCCUAAUACAUGCAAGUAGAACGCUGAAGAGAGGAGCUUGCUCUUCUUGGAUGAGUUGCGAACGGGAGAGUAACGCGUAGGUAACCUGCCUUGUAGCGGGUGAUAACUAUUGGAAACGAUAGCUAAUACCGCAUAACAAUGGAUGACACAUGUCAUUUAUUUGAAAGGGGCAAUUGCUCCACUACAAGAUGGACCUGCGUUGUAUUAGCUAGUAGGUGAGGUAACGGCUCACCUAGGCGACGAUACAUAGCCGACCUGAGAGGGUGAUCGGCCACACUGGGACUGAGACACGGCCCAGACUCCUACGGGAGGCAGCAGUAGGGAAUCUUCGGCAAUGGGGGCAACCCUGACCGAGCAACGCCGCGUGAGUGAAGAAGGUUUUCGGAUCGUAAAGCUCUGUUGUAAGUCAAGAACGAGUGUGAGAGUGGAAAGUUCACACUGUGACGGUAGCUUACCAGAAAGGGACGGCUAACUACGUGCCAGCAGCCGCGGUAAUACGUAGGUCCCGAGCGUUGUCCGGAUUUAUUGGGCGUAAAGCGAGCGCAGGCGGUUUGAUAAGUCUGAAGUUAAAGGCUGUGGCUCAACCAUAGUUCGCUUUGGAAACUGUCAAACUUGAGUGCAGAAGGGGAGAGUGGAAUUCCAUGUGUAGCGGUGAAAUGCGUAGAUAUAUGGAGGAACACCGGUGGCGAAAGCGGCUCUCUGGUCUGUAACUGACGCUGAGGCUCGAAAGCGUGGGGAGCGAACAGGAUUAGAUACCCUGGUAGUCCACGCCGUAAACGAUGAGUGCUAGGUGUUGGAUCCUUUCCGGGAUUCAGUGCCGCAGCUAACGCAUUAAGCACUCCGCCUGGGGAGUACGACCGCAAGGUUGAAACUCAAAGGAAUUGACGGGGGCCCGCA
Molecule: ribosomal RNA, 910 nt
Filed under: uncultured bacterium
Lineage: Bacteria
Description: bacterial SSU rRNA
Rfam family: Bacterial small subunit ribosomal RNA
Source: RNAcentral